UCAGACAAUGUAAGAGAGAUUUACACAUUUUGCACGACCUUAAAAAUCGACACUUUGAUCUUAUCAAGAAAAACGAAUAACAGCAAGCUUUCUCAUUGCAGAAUCCCUAAAAGCAGGGAUGACUAAUGCCUAAGGUGAGAGUUUCUUAACUUUCUUGAUUACAUUCACUUUUGCUGGAAAAUGUAUCGACAUAAGCAAGAUUCGUUCGAACCAUGCAGCUAUUGGUUUGUAGAUUCUUUGGCUCUGUUCUACAUUUUAUCAUUAACUUACACAAAAUAAUACUAAUGCACAUUGAGUUACAAGAUUUCAAGUCCUUUUCUUUAGUAACAGUCCUUAUGUCCGAAAAUGAAGUAUGAGUGAGGCGAUAUUCGAGCAAGAAAUUAGCUGCUUGGCCUACAUAUUUUGGUUGUGUAUCUGAGAAGCCUUAUGAUCAAAAGUAAGGUCUUUGCUUUUGGCCUAGGAAUGAAGGGGAAUAGGGUAAGUUGCUUGUGGAGAAAGGCUAUCAAGAAAGGAAAAGUGGUUAUUGAUCAUUUGAUUACCAUGUUUACUCCAAAACCAAAAACUAAUAAUUCUCUCUCUCUCUCUCAUGCCAAGGAAUGAAGGGAAAAAAGGGUAAAUUGCUUCUGGAGAAAGGCUAUCAAGAAAGGAAAAGUGAGAUUAUUGAUUAUCUCAUUACCAUGUUUAUUCCAAAGCCAAAAAGGUAUAGUAUAUCAUGCUCUCUCUCUCUCUCUCUCUCAUGGCUGUAUUGCCAAGGAAUGAAGGGAAAAGGAGGAAAGUUGCUUCUGGAGAAAGGCUAUCAAGAAAAGAAAAUUGAGGGAAAAGGGAGGAAAGUUGCUUCUGAAGAAAGGCUAUCAAGAAAGGAAAAGUAAGGUUGUUGAUCAUCCCAUUACAAUGUUUACUCCAAAACCAAAAACUUAUAGUAAUAUUCUCA
Molecule: long non-coding RNA, 931 nt
Organism: Salvia splendens (bonfire salvia)
Lineage: Eukaryota; Viridiplantae; Streptophyta; Magnoliopsida; Lamiales; Lamiaceae
Exons: 2
Source: RefSeq, a predicted model, not a curated record